This 2552-nucleotide long non-coding RNA is filed under the name Brassica napus (rape). Its description in RNAcentral is "long non-coding RNA (BNAP_LNC001542)". The record is from RNAcentral. Lineage: Eukaryota; Viridiplantae; Streptophyta; Magnoliopsida; Brassicales; Brassicaceae.
ACAUAUGUGUGUGUUCUGUGUAUAUAUAUCCUAAGUAAUUGUAUAUAUCAUGAGCAUCCCAAUCUUACCAAAUCCUAACACCCUCAAUUUGCACCAGCCAUGCCUUCAAUAAAUGAAGAUGUGUCUAUUGGAAACUUAGGCAGUCUCCAAACACUCCCAGACUCAUUCACCUGGAAACUCACCGCUGCUGACUCCAUUCUCCCUCCCUCCUCCGCCGCUGUGAAAGAGUCCAUUCCGGUCAUCGACCUCUCCGAUCCUGACGUCACCAAUUUGUUAGGAAAUGCAUGCAAAACGUGGGGAGCGUUUCAGAUAGCCAACCACGGGGUCUCUCAAAGUCUCCUCGACGACGUUGAAUCUCUCUCCAAAACCUUUAAAAGAUUAAACCGGCUCAACCAAAAAUAAGAUUAGUGGACGUGUUAGUACAUUACAGUUGACUAUUAUAUAUUUCGUUAUUUUCUUAUGGAUACGAGUAGGAAUAAUCCGAAAAAGGAAAAAUAGAAAUCGAAAUAUCUUGCCAUGUUGAAGUUUAGUUAAAAGCACAAUGAAAGCUAAUAGACCCACCAAAGAUUAUAUGUGUCUCAACGAUAUCUGUAUACUAUAUAGUAAGCAGUAACAAAAUACAAUGGCAUUUAUGGUAGGAAAAAAAAGGCUGAUGGACGCAUUAAUAGAUUAUGGCUGUCUCAGUUUUUGUAUGAAGAUUUGUAUACGUUUUAAGAUUUCAUCUGAUUGUCACAUCGAUUAAACAGUAAAAUUAUUCAAGAGUAUGAAGAGCAUAUGCAAAAGUUGGCAGCCAAGCUGAUGUGGCUGGCAUUAGGCUCACUUGGAGUUGAGGAAAAAGACAUUGAAUGGGCCGGUCCCAUUUCAGACUUUCAAGGAGCACAAGCAGCUAUCCAACUAAACCACUAUCCAAUAUGUCCAGAACCGGACCGAGCAAUGGGUCUCGCAGCACAUACCGACUCAACUCUCAUGACCAUACUGUACCAGAACAACACCGCCGGUCUCCAGGUUUUCAGGGAUGACGUGGGCUGGAUCACCGUGCCACCUGUCCCUGGCUCACUAGUGGUCAACCUCGGUGACUUACUCCACAUUUUGACCAACGGAAUAUUCCCGAGCGUGCUUCACCGAGCUAGGGUUAACCACCUCCGAUCUCGCUUCUCCAUGGCUUACUUGUGGGGUCCACCUUCUGAUCUGAUGAUCUCUCCGCUUCCCAAACUCGUUGAUCCUCUCCAUUCUCCUCUUUACCCAUCUCUUACUUGGAAGCAGUACCUUGCAACCAAAGCUACUCAUUUUAAUCAGUCUCUUUCCUUUAUUAGAAACUAUCUGUCUUCAGACCAAAUAUCUUGAUGUUUACAUUUGUACUUUCAUUAUUGUACAGCUUUUAUCUGGGUAAUAUGAUUAAUAAUUAAUAUUUUAUUUUACCUCAUUACACGAGCAUUUUACUGGAUAAAAUACAUGAAACAAGGUACAUUUCCUAUCCCCCGCCAUUUUUAUUUAAAAUGUGAAAACUUGCUAGAUUUUGAUGUUUUUUUUUUGUUGAAAUGUUAAAUUUAUUUAUCAACAAAAAAAAAAACUACAGAAACUUGGUAGAUUUUGAUGUUUAAGCAAUAAAUAAGUACUUAUCUCUAAAGGAAUCAAAUCCUGGGGUCAUUAAAAGCUCUCCAUAAAGUAAUAAUGACAAAACAACAAUUUGUAACUCACACCAUGCAUGAACACACUUGUUUUAACCAUAACAUGCCAGUCAAAUUGCUAGUUUUAUUUGGAAAAUGGCAUUAUCCGAGUUAUUGUCAAUAAGUUAUAAGUAAUAUUACAUAAUCAAUAUAGAGAAACCAACAUUUGUCAAUAUUAAUACGUGGAUCCAAUCAAAUUGCUUAGGUUUAAUUGGAAAUACCCAAUAAGAUGAUGUAUUCUACCAAUCCAUAAUACACUAGCUUAGACCUUAACAUGUGUAGCUCCAGAAAAGGACAAGAAUCAAAAAAGGAUUUAUCCUCAUCAUAUAUGCAUGUAUUAAACUUGUUGUGAUCAACAUAUAUUCAUAACAUAUGUGUGUGUUCUGUGUAUAUAUAUCCUAAGUAAUUGUAUAUAUCAUGAGCAUCCCAAUCUUACCAAAUCCUAACACCCUCAAUUUGCACCAGCCAUGCCUUCAAUAAAUGAAGAUGUGUCUAUUGGAAACUUAGGCAGUCUCCAAACACUCCCAGACUCAUUCACCUGGAAACUCACCGCUGCUGACUCCAUUCUCCCUCCCUCCUCCGCCGCUGUGAAAGAGUCCAUUCCGGUCAUCGACCUCUCCGAUCCUGACGUCACCAAUUUGUUAGGAAAUGCAUGCAAAACGUGGGGAGCGUUUCAGAUAGCCAACCACGGGGUCUCUCAAAGUCUCCUCGACGACGUUGAAUCUCUCUCCAAAACCUUUUUCGAUAUGCCGUCAGAGAGGAAACUCGAGGCUGCUUCCUCUAAUAAAGGAGUUAGUGGGUACGGAGAACCUCGAAUCUCUCUUUUCUUCGAGAAGAAAAUGUGGUCUGAAGGGUUGACAAUCGCCGACGGCUCCUACCGCAACC